Molecule: RNA transcript, 834 nt
Organism: Cebus imitator (Panamanian white-faced capuchin)
Lineage: Eukaryota; Metazoa; Chordata; Mammalia; Primates; Cebidae
Gene name: proline-rich nuclear receptor coactivator 2-like
Exons: 1
Source: RefSeq, a predicted model, not a curated record
AGUGCAUAAAGAAAAUGUGGGUCGGUAGAGGAAGGAGGAGGAGGUCGGGUUGUAGAAGCUGGAGUGGCCGGCAGCGCACUCAUCGGUGCUCGCGGGCUUUGUCGGUCCGUGCCUCGUCUCUCCCUGGAAAGGGAGGGAGGCUUCGACGUCGACAGGGAGCCGCUGCCGCCGUAGUUCCGAGCUUGAAGUCGCUAGGACUUCUCUCAAACUUGUGUGCUGAGGAGACAGAUGUGGGCCUCAUCUCCUAGGGUGAACUCAGCAGAUCGGCCCAUGAAAACUUCUGUAUUGAGACAAGGGAAAGGAUCUGUUAGAAAGCAGCACUUCUUAUCUUGGGCUUGGCAGCAAGGAAGAGGACAGGUAUUGGAAAUCCUGCAUUCUGAAAAGCAGACUGAAAGGUGACAAAGAAGCUGAAGAUGGGUGGUGGAGAGAGGUAUAGCAUUCCAGCGCCUCAAUCUGGAAAUGUUAGUAAGAACCAACAACAGCUUAACAGACAGAAGACCAAGGAUCAGAAUUCCCAGAUGAAGAUUGUUCAUAAGAAAAAAUGAAAGAGGACAUGGUUAUAACGCAUCAGCAGCUGCUUGGCAGGCCACGCAAAACGGCGGAAAGAACAAAAAUUUUCCAAAUAAUCAAAGUUGGAACUCUAGCUUAUCAGGUCCCAGCUUACUUUUCAAAUCUCAAGCUAUUCAGAACUAUGCUGGUGCCGAGCUUAGCGAGCCGCCAUCAUCAAGUGUUCUUCCCAAACCACCAAGCCACUGGGUCCCUGUGUCCUUUAAUCCUUCAGAGAAGGAAAUAACGAUAUUUCAACUUAGAGCCUUACUUAAAGUACAGGUAUAA